GGUUGUGGCUUAGUGGUACAACACUCACCUAGCAUGUGUGAGGCACUGGGUUCAAUCCCCAGCACCA
Molecule: transfer RNA, 67 nt
Filed under: Marmota monax (woodchuck)
Lineage: Eukaryota; Metazoa; Chordata; Mammalia; Rodentia; Sciuridae
Description: tRNA.Ala
Source: RNAcentral